CCCGUCACACCAUGGGAGUCGAUUGCUCCAGAAGUCAGUGUGCUAACCGCAAGGAGGCAGCUGCCCAAGGAGUGGUCGGUGACUGGGGUG
Molecule: ribosomal RNA, 90 nt
Filed under: uncultured bacterium
Lineage: Bacteria
Description: partial 16S ribosomal RNA
Rfam family: Bacterial small subunit ribosomal RNA
Source: RNAcentral